GGUUUCCAGACAUUUUGUUGUGGCCAGAGAAUCCUCUUUAAAUGGUAACUGGAAUCAUGAAUAACAGAGGUAGACAGCAUCAUAAGAAGAGACUCUUCAAGGCCUCUGUCUGACCACCAGCUCUCACAGCCCCUACUGAGUAGGAAAUAAACAUGGAAUAAAGUGCCCGACUGUUCCAGUUUUUCCCAGACUGAGGGAUUUCUGGGGUGCUUGACCUUCAAGUACUCAGACCAGAAGGAAAAACCAAAUGACC
This 253-nucleotide long non-coding RNA is filed under the name Mustela putorius furo (domestic ferret). Its description in RNAcentral is "lncRNA (ENSMPUG00000027919.1)". The record is from RNAcentral. Lineage: Eukaryota; Metazoa; Chordata; Mammalia; Carnivora; Mustelidae.